RNAcentral lists this ribosomal RNA (446 nucleotides) under uncultured bacterium. RNAcentral describes it as "bacterial SSU rRNA". It matches the Rfam family "Bacterial small subunit ribosomal RNA", at positions 47 to 483 of the family's 1533-position model. The record is from RNAcentral.
CCUAACACAUGCAAGUUCGAGCGGAAACGAUGGGUGCUUGCACCCAGGCGUCGAGCGGCGGACGGGUGAGUAACGCGUGAGAAUCUGCCCAUUUGUGGGGGAUAACUCGGGGAAACUCGAGCUAAUACCGCAUAAUCCCUACGGGGGAAAGCAGGGGACCUUCGGGCCUUGUGCAGAUGGAUGAGCUCGCGUCGGAUUAGCUAGUUGGUGGGGUAAAGGCCUACCAAGGCGACGAUCCGUAGCUGGUCUGAGAGGAUGAUCAGCCACACCGGGACUGAGACACGGCCCGGACUCCUACGGGAGGCAGCAGUGGGGAAUCUUGGACAAUGGGGGCAACCCUGAUCCAGCCAUGCCGCGUGUGUGAAGAAGGCCCUAGGGUUGUAAAGCACUUUCAGCAGGGAGGAAGGCUUACUGUUAAUACCGGUGAGUACUUGACGUUACCUGCA